This 497-nucleotide ribosomal RNA is filed under the name uncultured bacterium. RNAcentral describes it as "partial 16S ribosomal RNA". It matches the Rfam family "Bacterial small subunit ribosomal RNA", at positions 28 to 507 of the family's 1533-position model. The record is from RNAcentral.
GAUGAACGCUGGCGGCGUGCCUAAUACAUGCAAGUCGAGCGAACAGACGAGGAGCUUGCUCCUCUGACGUUAGCGGCGGACGGGUGAGUAACACGUGGAUAACCUACCUAUAAGACUGGGAUAACUUCGGGAAACCGGAGCUAAUACCGGAUAAUAUAUUGAACCGCAUGGUUCAAUAGUGAAAGACGGUUUUGCUGUCACUUAUAGAUGGAUCCGCGCCGCAUUAGCUAGUAGGUAAGGUAACGGCUUACCAAGGCAACGAUGCGUAGCCGACCUGAGAGGGUGAUCGGCCACACUGGAACUUAGACACGGUCCAGACUCCUACGGGAGGCAGCAGUAGGGAAUCUUCCGCAAUGGGCGAAAGCCUGACGGAGCAACGCCGCGUGAGUGAUGAAGGUCUUCGGAUCGUAAAACUCUGUUAUUAGGGAAGAACAAAUGUGUAAGUAACUAUGCACGUCUUGACGGUACCUAAUCAGAAAGCCACGGCUAACUACGUG